CGAACGGGUGAGUAACGCGUGGGUAACCUACCUCUUAGCGGGGGACAACUAUUGGAAACGAUAGCUAAUACCGCAUAACAAUACUUAACACAUGUUAAGUAUUUGAAAGCACCAAUUGGUGCACUAAGAGAUGGACCCGCGUUGUAUUAGCUAGUUGGUAGUGUAAUGGACUACCAAGGCGAUGAUACAUAGCCGACCUGAGAGGGUGAUCGGCCACAUUGGGACUGAGACACGGCCCAAACUCCUACGGGAGGCAGCAG
Molecule: ribosomal RNA, 260 nt
Filed under: uncultured bacterium
Lineage: Bacteria
Description: partial 16S ribosomal RNA
Rfam family: Bacterial small subunit ribosomal RNA
Source: RNAcentral